This 619-nucleotide ribosomal RNA is filed under the name uncultured bacterium. RNAcentral's name for it is "bacterial SSU rRNA". It matches the Rfam family "Bacterial small subunit ribosomal RNA", at positions 8 to 627 of the family's 1533-position model. The record is from RNAcentral.
AGAGUUUGAUCCUGGCUCAGAAUGAACGCUGGCGGCGUGCCUAACACAUGCAAGUCGAACGAGAAAGCUUCUUCGGAAGCAAGUAUAGUGGCGAACGGGUGAGUAACACGUAAGAAUCUACCUUUUAGUAAAGAAUACCUUCGAGAAAUCGGAGUUAAUACUGUAUAAGCCCUACGGGGGAAAGACGGCCUCUUUGCUGUCGCUAAGAGAUGAGCUUGCGGACUAUUAGCUUGUUGGUAGGGUAAUGGCCUACCAAGGCAAUGAUGGAUAGCCGACCUGAGAGGGUGACCGGCCACACUGGAACUGACACACGGUCCAGACUCCUACGGGAGGCAGCAGUGGGGAAUAUUGCACAAUGAGCGAAAGCUUGAUGCAGCGACGCCGCGUGGAGGAUGAAGGUUUUCGGAUUGUAAACUCCUGUUAAGUGGGAAGAAAGGCUCGUAGGUAAUAUAUGCGAGAGAUGACGGUACCACUAGAGAAAGCUCCGGCUAACUUCGUGCCAGCAGCCGCGGUAAUACGAAGGGAGCUAGCGUUAUUCGGAAUUACUGGGCGUAAAGAGCGUGUAGGCGGUUAAUUAAGUUGGUUGUCAAAUUCCUCGGCUUAACCGAGGGUCGGCAGU